This 492-nucleotide ribosomal RNA is filed under the name uncultured bacterium. RNAcentral's name for it is "partial 16S ribosomal RNA". It matches the Rfam family "Bacterial small subunit ribosomal RNA", at positions 30 to 507 of the family's 1533-position model. The record is from RNAcentral.
AUUGAACGCUGGCGGGAUGCUUUACACAUGCAAGUCGAACGGCAGCACGAAAAGAGCUUGCUCUUUUUGGUGGCGAGUGGCGAACGGGUGAGUAAUGUAUCGGAACGUACCCAGUAGCGGGGGAUAACUACGCGAAAGCGUUGCUAAUACCUCAUACGCCCUACGGGGGAAAGGGGGGGAUCGCAAGACCUCUCACGAUUGGAGCGGCCGAUAUCGGUUUAACUAGUUGGUGGGGUAAAGGCUCACCAAGGCAACGAUCCGUAGCUGGGUUGAGAGGACGAACAGCCACACUGGGACUGGGACACGGCCCAGACUCCUGAGGGAGGCAGCAGUGGGGAAUUUUGGACAAUGGGGGAAACCCUGAUCCAGCAAUCCCGCGUGUGGGAUGAAGGCCUUCGGGUUGUAAAGCACUUUUGGCAGGGAAGAAACGGUGCUGACUAAUACUGGGCGCAACUGACGGUACCUGCAGAAUAAGCACCGGCUAACUACGUG